UUGAAAAUUUGCCCUCAAAUCGGGAGAGAACCCCCUCAAAAUUAAAAUAUAUCAAAAAGCAAAAAAA
RNAcentral lists this ribosomal RNA (67 nucleotides) under Amanita muscaria (fly agaric). RNAcentral's name for it is "partial 26S ribosomal RNA". Lineage: Eukaryota; Fungi; Basidiomycota; Agaricomycetes; Agaricales; Amanitaceae. The record is from RNAcentral.